AGAGUUUGAUCAUGGCUCAGAACGAACGCUGGCGGCAGGCCUCAAACAUGCAAGUCUAGGGGGUGUAGCAAUACAUCACCGGCGGACGGGUGCGUAACACGUGGGAAUAUACCUUUUGGUUCGGAACAACGCAGGGAAACUUGCGCUAAUACCGAAUGUGCCCUUACGGGGAAAGAUUUAUCGCCAAAGGAUUAGCCCGCGUAGGAUUAGCUAGUUGGUGAGGUAAUGGCUCACCAAGGCUCCGAUCCUUAGCUGUUCUGAGAGGAAGAUCAGCCACACUGGGACUGAGACACGGCCCAGACUCCUACGGGAGGCAGCAGUUGGGAAUCUUGGACAAUGGGGGAAACCCUGAUCCAGCCAUGCCGCGUGAGUGAUGAAGGCCUUCGGGUUGUAAAACUCUUUCGACGGGGACGAUAAUGACGGUACCCGUAGAAGAAGCUCCGGCUAACUUCGUGCCAGCAGCCGCGGUAAUACGAAGGGGGCUAGCGUUGUUCGGAAUUACUGGGCGUAAAGCGCGCGCAGGCGGUCUUCCAAGUCAGUGGUGAAAGCCCGGAGCUCAACUCCGGAACUGCCAUUGAAACUGUAAGACUUGAGGAUGAGAGAGGUGAGUGGAAUUCCCAGUGUAGAGGUGAAAUUCGUAGAUAUUGGGAAGAACACCGGUGGCGAAGGCGGCUCACUGGCUCAUUUCUGACGCUCAGGCGCGACAGCGUGGGGAUCAAACAGGAUUAGAUACCCCGGUAGUCC
RNAcentral lists this ribosomal RNA (744 nucleotides) under uncultured bacterium. RNAcentral describes it as "bacterial SSU rRNA". It matches the Rfam family "Bacterial small subunit ribosomal RNA", at positions 8 to 796 of the family's 1533-position model. The record is from RNAcentral.